RNAcentral lists this ribosomal RNA (253 nucleotides) under uncultured bacterium. RNAcentral's name for it is "partial 16S ribosomal RNA". It matches the Rfam family "Bacterial small subunit ribosomal RNA", at positions 524 to 776 of the family's 1533-position model. The record is from RNAcentral.
UACGGAGGGGGCUAGCGUUGUUCGGAAUUACUGGGCGUAAAGCGCGCGUAGGCGGCUUUGUAAGUUAGAGGUGAAAGCCCGGAGCUCAACUCCGGAACUGCCUUUAAGACUGCAUCGCUAGAAUUGUGGAGAGGUGAGUGGAAUUCCGAGUGUAGAGGUGAAAUUCGUAGAUAUUCAGAAGAACACCAGUGGCGAAGGCGACUCACUGGACACAUAUUGACGCUGAGGUGCGAAAGCGUGGGGAGCAAACAGG